Molecule: long non-coding RNA, 1895 nt
Organism: Chrysemys picta bellii (western painted turtle)
Lineage: Eukaryota; Metazoa; Chordata; Testudines; Emydidae
Source: Ensembl
CCCUGGGGGUGCGGAGUGGGUGACAUCAUCGCUUUAAACCCCAGUCUGCGCUGCCAUUGGCUAACAAGCUAAUUGAGCGGGGUGGGGGGGCGGUGUGUGUCCUCCCCGCCCGCUCCCCUCCUCACCCAGUUGGGCUGGGGCGCUGCUCGGCACCGCACGCCCGGCCCGGAGCAGCCACCGCCCCCCGCGCUGCCAGACAAAGCCGGGUUCGGAGCGGGGCUGCAGCAGGUGGCGAGAGGCGGUUCCCCGCAGAUCGCAGCAGUUCUAGCUCAGUGGCAGAAGAGGAUUUGACUGUUCUCCAUCACCGCGGCGGGGGCAGACGGUCUGCCCAGCACCUGGUUGGGACAAGAUGGAUGGCAAAGCUACUGCCAAUGGGGUCCCCCCUCCCCAGACCAAUGGCACGGCAACCGCUGGGAAAGGGCCAGCAGCUGGCCAGCCUGCAGCAAAACCCAAGCCUGCCAAGAACACUGUGAGAUCAGCCCCCGUCCCUGGAGCUAGGCGGCCUGUGACGGACCACGCCCGCCCGCCCACGGCCCCAUGUGGUGGCUCCAAGCUGCUCAGCAAUGGGGUGCCCCCGAGGGCCGAAGCCUCGCAGAGGAAGCUGCCAGCGGCAGCAUCAGCACCCAAAGCUGGUGCUGCCUCUACCAAGCCCACUCCGGCCAAAACAGUGGCCAGGAAGCCAGUGGGUGAGAGCGGGGCAAAGCCUCCGGAGAAGGCUGGGCCGGGCAAGGCCGGGCAGCCGAAGGGCAUGAGGAAGACGCCGGUUCCAACCAUGGCCUUGGUCCCAAAGUUGGCCUCAGUGAAGCCUGAGAAACCAGAAUCGGCCAAGCCUUCCAGGUAUGGUAUGGAGUUGCCUGCGGCUGCACGCUGGCUGCUCCUGAUACUAUGGGGAUAGAUGUGGGAGGGGCUGGGUAAAGAACCUGCCCCAGGAUACCCAGCAGGGGGCAUAUGGUGGGGCUGGGAAGGCUGGCUUUUGGGGUCUGGAUGAAACUUCCAUGUGGGAUGGCUCCUGACCAGUCAAGGUACUGCCCUUGGGACCCCCAGCCCGCUUGGAGCAAGCAGUGGCAUGUGCAGGGUGUGUGUGGUACCUGAUCUAAUGUGAUCAGAUGUAAUCACACUAAUAACAGCAUGAGAAGGGAUGGUAGCAGGAGUCACUGAAACUAGGGGAACUCCCAGAGGAAAACAGUCUCAGAUCAGAGGCAGCUCCUGGGAGAGCCUGAGAUGAGACGGAAACAGACUCUGUUAGAGACCUUUCUGAAUUUUCUCUCUCAUUAGUGAGUGGUGGGAUGUUCGCUGGCAGUAUGUUGUUCAGCCACUAGAUGUCCCUGAACUGCACAGUGUUCCAGGCAGGGAGUGGUCCCUGGUAAACAACGGAGACAGAAGUGGGACACAAGCUAAGUGAAGGCUUGUCUGCAGUUCAGUAAAUGCCUCCUGUUGGAGAUGAACUGUGGUUCUGCAUAUCAUGAGACAAAAAUAUUCCAGUGGCCCUAAGCGGGGAGGAGACUUCUGGUAGUAGACGACUCUCUAAUCUAGCAGCCAAAGUCCGAAUGAGAUCAAUGAAGCUGAAGCCAGCCAAAUUCUGAUUAGCCAUGAAGUGUGAAUUUUUAGCCCUGAGAACACAGGGCCCAUUCAUGUAGGGCUGUGGGAGAUUCUCCAUCCCUCCAAAUUGAGCCUGGAUGUCUUUCUACAAGAGAUGCAUUGGCUCAGAUAGACACGAACCUGCCUGAUGCACAAAGCACCAAGUGGGUUAUCUGGCCUGCGUUUAUGCAGCCUAGAUGGUGGUAAUUGUAGCAUAUGGGAACAGGACAGUAUCCCUUUGGACUACUGGCUCCCAUGGUGUCCAAGGUUUUGAAAGCUGUUAGAGCAGCAGGCCAUAGGUGACUAGCCCUGGCAUG